This 1096-nucleotide ribosomal RNA is filed under the name uncultured Rhizaria. Its description in RNAcentral is "bacterial SSU rRNA". It matches the Rfam family "Eukaryotic small subunit ribosomal RNA", at positions 570 to 1674 of the family's 1831-position model. The record is from RNAcentral.
CUCUCUUCGCUUACAUUCCAGUUCCGAUACCAGUAUACUAUACUUGUUGUCGGUUAAAAAGCUCGUAUCUGAGAUUUCUGCUGCUGCACGGAACGGACGGUCGCAACUUGCGUACUCGAGUUAAGGUUUUCCCCUCAUCCUGUCGCGAACCGAGCUACCAUUACCUUGGCGUGGCUGGGGAUCGGAUCGAUUACUUUAAUAAAAAUAAAGUGUACAGAGCAGGCCACACCCCUUGAAUAAAUUAGCAUGGAAUGAUGACUAAAGACUUCAGUUCUAUUUUGUUGUGGUUCGGUACUGAAGUAAUGAUUGAUAUGAACAGUUGAGGCGGUCUGUAUUCCAUACCGAGAGGAGAAAUUCUUAUACCUUCGGAAGACAAACAGCUGCGAAAGCGUUCCGCAAGGAUGUUCCCUUUGAUCAAGAACGAAAGUUGGGGGAUCGAAGACGAUCAGAUACCGUCGUAGUCUCAACUAUAAACUAUACCAGCUAGGGAUCGGUCAACGUUUAAUCAUUCGACUUGAUCGGCACCUUAUGAGAAAUCAAAGCAUCUGGGUUCCGGGGGGAGUAUGGUCGCAAGGCUGAAACUUAAAGGAAUUGACGGAAGGGCACCACCAGCCGUGGAGCCUGUGGCUUAAUUUGACUCAACACGGGAAAACUUACCAGGUCCAGACAUAGUAAGGAUUGACAGAUUGAUAGCUCUUUCUUGAUUCUGUGGGUGGUGGUGCAUGGCCGUUCUUAGUUGGUGGAGUGAUUUGUCUGGUUAAUUCCGUUAACGAACGAGACCCCAGCCUGCUAAAUAGCGCGGCUGAGCUUUGCUCGGUGCGAGCUUCUUAGAGGGACUAUGAUGCGCGAUAGCACAUGGAAGUUUGGGGCAAUAACAGGUCUGUGAUGCCCUUAGAUGUUCUGGGCCGCACACGGGCUACACUGGCGCCUGCAACGAGCAUAUCAGCUGGCCCGAGAGGGUCUUGGCUAAUCUUUUGAACCGGCGCCGUGCUUGGGAUUGACCAUUGCAAUUGUUGGUCAUGCAACGAGGAAUGCCUUGUAAGCGCGAGUCAUCAGCUCGCAUUGAAUACGUCCCUGCUCCUUGUACACACCGCCC